UCUCCUUAAGAAUACUGCCUCCACUUACUCCCCUUCACUGACUUUUUAACCUAGUAUAAUUAGACUUUCUUCUUCAAAACUUGAAUAAACAGCUAUUGCCAGGGCCAACAGUGACCUAUUCAUUGCUAAAUCCAGUGGUCUUAGACAGUUAAUGACUUACUACAUUGUACCACACCCACUCUAUCAGUAAAUUGUCUUGAGUAUAGACCUAUGAUUUUAAUACCUUCAGAAUAUCUACUGCUACAAGCAAACUUCAGACAAUA
RNAcentral lists this long non-coding RNA (263 nucleotides) under Pan troglodytes (chimpanzee). Its description in RNAcentral is "long non-coding RNA NONPTRT010082". Lineage: Eukaryota; Metazoa; Chordata; Mammalia; Primates; Hominidae. The record is from RNAcentral.